AUGAGCCCUGCCCCUGGGGCACCUAGGAGGGUGAGGGGCUGUGGGUUGGGAGUGAGGGGCACUGGCAGUGUUAGGGAGCUGUGGGUGGGGAGUGAGGGGCCCCCCGCAAAGGGCUGUGAGGUGGGAUCAAGGGGCCAUGCUGAGGAAAUGGGGUCAUGAAUGGAGUCAUGCUAAGGAAAGUUUGGGAAACACUGGCCUAAACCAUGCUAGCCUGAUAUCUAGGGUCAGGCAGACCAUGACUGGCUUAAGAGCUGGACUGUACUGACAGUCUUAAUGAGGGAGGAAGGAAAAACCAACUACUGCCAUAUUUUCUAGUAUCUACUUCUUUAUUCUCAAAUCCUUCCUUUCUUCAAUUUUGGAAAUAGCAGAGUCUCUUAUAUGUCUUUUUAGAAGUCCAUAAGCCUGCCUUCAUUAUCAUAAUUACAAAAAUAUUGUAAAGUAAUCCAAAGAGAUGUGAUAGAUAUUCUGAUGUAGUAUCAUUACUGAAAAUCCAGUCAUUGUUUCUGUAGCAAGCCCAAAUUUUGUUCACUAAAUAUGCAAGAGACAAGGAUUUUUGCAGGAGGGAUCUUUUAUUGCAACAACUGUAACAUCACAAUAAUAAACCAAACUUUGCUUCCCCAUGACUAUUUUGUGUAAUUGGGUUACAAUAAAAAUGAAGUAAUGAUAGUUUAAAAAAAAAAGAGAUUGCUGAUGCAAGUAGCCCUUUCAGGCAUAGGAUAUGCGCAGCCUCUCUGACAUUAUUUAGAUAUGCUGCCUUCGAGAGUUACCUGAACUGUACAGUUCCCUGCAGCAAUACAUCAACUGAAUUACUUUACAAGGAAAGAGGUAGAUUCCCUUGAGUUGAUGUGACAAUAGCUUAGUAGCUCCAGAUUGUCUUACAUCAAGUGGAGCAGCCUUUCUAAUAUGCCUUUUAGAGUAUAAGGAGGAAAAAGUAAGAUCCCAACUGAAAUUUUAAAUUUCUGCAAUGAUGACAGUGCUAAUUAUUAAUAGGCAUAAAUCAGAUGUAGCCAGAGUUCAGGCAACAGGACACAUGAGGCUCGUUGCAUUCCACAAAAUGUCUUGCAAGCACAUUUUGUCUUUAAUGUUGCUGUGUUACCUGUUCAGAUUAGAAAUCCCAGCAUGGUGUAAUCCUGCAUAGAAAUGGAGGAUUGGGAUUUGUAGUCUCCCUUCUGCAAUAAAGAUGAUGAUAGAUGCAAUCUACUUCUUUGUCUAUGGCCCAUAACACUUAUGCAUUUUAUACCAACAUUGAACAAGUUCCCCAUUGGGCAUGACCUUGACAAGGAAGCAUGGGUCAAGAUGAACAGACUGAGAUAUGGACGCUUCAAAACAACAUUGUACAAGAUGAACAUCUUCACAGCCCCCUGCAUGAAUGUGAUAUUCAGCAAACAGCACAACACUUAAUUCAAAGCUGCAAUCUUUACAAAUGCCCAGAUGGGGUAGAUGGAAUGAAUCCACACAUGGAGUGAUAAUAUCAGACAGUGGCUCAUAGCUGGCCGGAAAGAACAAGGUGGGGGUGGGGUUUGGAAACAUGGGCUUCACCACCUUGGGUCAUUGAGAGCUUAGGCAAAGGCCAGCCUGGCACUUGGGCAGAGGAGAUGAGCUCUGGCUUAGGUUAGACUGCCGCCCUGUGAGUGGGGGGUGAGUGGGGUACUGCAAUGUUCCAUGGGAUAUCAGAGGAAUGUGACCUCCCAUGAGUUGCAAUGGAACAGAUGUGGUACAGAUGUUUGUUACGGCACUCUAACCUACAAUGCUGAAAUAGGAUACCAUAUCCAUCCAGGGUUAUCCCAGAGUGGAAUCUGCCAUUUUUACAGUGCUCUGUGUGCCCUGCCUGUUUGGUUAUGGCUGUGGAGUGCUUUCUGUGUGUUUACCAUGCAAUAAGUGUAACUUCUGCACCUGGCAUAUCAUUUGAUAGAGAUUUACUUUCUGGACUAAGAACAAUUCAUUCUUGUAUGUUUACUAUAGACAGGUGAUGAUGAAAUGGAACACGGUCCAAUCGUAUCAUGAAGGCUGUGUAAUGAUAAAAUGCCUUUUUCAUUACAAAUGAAAUAAUAAUUCCUGCACUACUGCCAAACAUACUUUGAAAUAAAUUUAGUUCUGUUUAUUGUGA
This is a long non-coding RNA of Alligator sinensis (Chinese alligator), 2107 nucleotides long. RefSeq lists it as uncharacterized. NCBI's taxonomy places the organism in Eukaryota, Metazoa, Chordata, Crocodylia, Alligatoridae. The record is from RefSeq and is a predicted model, not a curated record. The transcript has 2 exons.